GCUCGCGUGACGUAGUGGUUUGAGUGUUGGACUACAAUGCUGGAGACCAGGGUUCGAUUCCCAGCUUGGCCA
Non-coding RNA from Phrynosoma platyrhinos (Desert horned lizard), 72 nucleotides. NCBI's taxonomy places the organism in Eukaryota, Metazoa, Chordata, Lepidosauria, Squamata, Phrynosomatidae. The record is from the annotation of a GenBank genome assembly.